CUGGCCACAGAAUCCCUCUAACACUAGUCCUGCUCUUAAAAAAUGAUGUUGCUUUCAGAUUUUAAUCAGGUCCCAUAACUUGGAUCCAUCUGCUGCUUCUGAAGUAUUUAGGGUUGUCAAAUCUACCGAUUACCAGGUGGUGGUGGCAGUGGAAGAAGAUCCCACCAUUCAAGUGCUGGUUAAUGUUGCUGCCGUGUCACACACUGCACUACAACAUGGAUGGAAGCCCCACUUCAGCACAUGGCACCCAAAAUAAUAAAGAGGUUGAAAUGCAUCUGAAGACAUCCUUUCAACUACACCACCUGAAGGUUGAAUUUGUGUGCAUCCUCAUAUCUGAAUAUUGGGUCAGGAUUUGAUUCCCUACUCAGUCAUGGAGAUUCACUGGGUGACCCUGGACAAGUCACACUUCCUCAUCCUUAGAGGAAUGCAAAGGCAAGCCUCC
This is a long non-coding RNA of Sceloporus undulatus (fence lizard), 442 nucleotides long. RefSeq lists it as uncharacterized. Lineage: Eukaryota; Metazoa; Chordata; Lepidosauria; Squamata; Phrynosomatidae. The record is from RefSeq and is a predicted model, not a curated record. The transcript is spliced from 4 exons.